This 252-nucleotide ribosomal RNA is filed under the name uncultured bacterium. RNAcentral describes it as "partial 16S ribosomal RNA". It matches the Rfam family "Bacterial small subunit ribosomal RNA", at positions 524 to 776 of the family's 1533-position model. The record is from RNAcentral.
UACGUAGGUGGCAAGCGUUGUCCGGAAUUAUUGGGCGUAAAGCGCGCGCAGGCGGUCCUUUAAGUCUGAUGUGAAGGCCCACGGCUCAACCGUGGAGGGUCAUUGGAAACUGGGGGACUUGAGUACAGAAGAGAAGAGUGGAAUUCCACGUGUAGCGGUGAAAUGCGUAGAGAUGUGGAGAACACCAGUGGCGAAGGCGACUCUUUGGUCUGUAACUGACGCUGAGGCGCGAAAGCGUGGGGAGCAAACAGG